AAUAUUGGACAAUGGGCGCAAGCCUGAUCCAGCCAUGCCGCGUGAGUGAUGAAGGCCNNNGGGUUNUCAAGCUCUUUCACCGGNGACNAUAAUGACGGUAACCGGAGAAGAAGCCCCGGCUAACUUCGUGCCAGCAGCCGCGGUAAUACGAAGGGGGCUAGCGUUGUUCGGAAUUACUGGGCGUAAAGCGCACGUAGGCGGAUUAUUAAGUCGGGGGUGAAAUCCCGCAGCUCAACUGCGGAACUGCCUUUGAUACUGGUAAUCUAGAGACCGAGAGAGGUAAGUGGAACUCCUAGUGUAGAGGUGGAAUUCGUAGAUAUUAGGAAGAACACCAGUGGCGAAGGCGGCUUACUGGCUCGGAACUGACGCUGAGGUGCGAAAGCGUGGGGAGCAAAC
RNAcentral lists this ribosomal RNA (396 nucleotides) under uncultured bacterium. RNAcentral describes it as "partial 16S ribosomal RNA". It matches the Rfam family "Bacterial small subunit ribosomal RNA", at positions 360 to 773 of the family's 1533-position model. The record is from RNAcentral.